RNAcentral lists this ribosomal RNA (436 nucleotides) under Licmophora paradoxa. RNAcentral's name for it is "partial Bacterial large subunit ribosomal RNA". It matches the Rfam family "Bacterial large subunit ribosomal RNA", at positions 147 to 582 of the family's 2925-position model. The record is from RNAcentral. Lineage: Eukaryota; Bacillariophyta; Fragilariophyceae; Licmophorales; Licmophoraceae.
GUCACCCGGCACUGAAUACAUAGGUGUCGGGGGGGAACGCGGGGAAGUGAAACAUCUCAGUACCCUUAGGAAAAGAAAUCAAUUGAGAUUCCCCCAGUAGCGGCGAGCGAACGGGGAACAGCCCAAACCGUAACAGUUACGGCUGUUGCGGGGUUGUAGGACUGCACUGUGGACUAUACAAACGAAUCGGAAUGGUUUGGGAAAGCCAAUCAAAGAGGGUGAGAAUCCCGUACGAGUAAAGUUGUAUUACCUAGCAGUAUCCUGAGUAGGGCGGGACCGGAGAAAUCCCGUCUGAAUCCACCGGCACCAUCCGGUAAGGCUAAAUACUCCUGAGAGACCGAUAGAGAACCAGUACCGUGAGGGAAAGGUGAAAAGAACCGUGAAUAACGGAGUGAAAUAGAUCCUGAAACCAUACGCUUACAAGCGGUCGGAGCCC